AGCGCAGGCGGCUAGGUCAGUCUGAAGUGAAAGUCCGGGGCUCAACCCCGGAAGGGCUUCGGAUACUGCCUGGCUUGAGUACGUGAGAGGUGAGCGGAAUUUCAGGUGAAGCGGUGAAAUGCGUAGAUAUCUGAAGGAACAUCGGUGGCGAAAGCGGCUCACUGGCACGAAACUGACGCUGAGGCUGAAAGCGUGGGGAGCGAACG
Molecule: ribosomal RNA, 206 nt
Filed under: uncultured bacterium
Lineage: Bacteria
Description: partial 16S ribosomal RNA
Rfam family: Bacterial small subunit ribosomal RNA
Source: RNAcentral